This is a non-coding RNA of Schistosoma haematobium, 48 nucleotides long. Lineage: Eukaryota; Metazoa; Platyhelminthes; Trematoda; Strigeidida; Schistosomatidae. The record is from Rfam.
AUCCAGCUGACGAGUUCCAAAUAGGAUAAAACGUGUGUCAAACUGGAU